RNAcentral lists this ribosomal RNA (253 nucleotides) under uncultured bacterium. RNAcentral describes it as "partial 16S ribosomal RNA". It matches the Rfam family "Bacterial small subunit ribosomal RNA", at positions 524 to 776 of the family's 1533-position model. The record is from RNAcentral.
UACGUAGGGUGCAAGCGCUGUCCGGAAUUAUUGGGCGUAAAGAGCUCGUAGGCGGUCUGUCGCGUCUGCUGUGAAAACUCAGGGCUUAACCCUGAGCUUGCAGUGGGUACGGGCAGACUAGAGUGCGGUAGGGGAGACUGGAAUUCCUGGUGUAGCGGUGAAAUGCGCAGAUAUCAGGAGGAACACCGGUGGCGAAGGCGGGUCUCUGGGCCGAUACUGACGCUGAGGAGCGAAAGCGUGGGGAGCGAACAGG